ACUGGGUUAGCUCAGUUGGUUAGAGCGUGGUGCUAAUAACGCCAAGCUCACAGGUUCAAUCCCUGCUCACUGCA
This is a non-coding RNA of Pelecanus crispus (Dalmatian pelican), 74 nucleotides long. The record is from Rfam. Lineage: Eukaryota; Metazoa; Chordata; Aves; Pelecaniformes; Pelecanidae.